Molecule: ribosomal RNA, 466 nt
Filed under: uncultured bacterium
Lineage: Bacteria
Description: partial 16S ribosomal RNA
Rfam family: Bacterial small subunit ribosomal RNA
Source: RNAcentral
GACGAACGCUGGCGGUGUGCUUAACACAUGCAAGUCGAACGGUAAGGCCCUUUCGGGGGUACACGAGUGGCGAACGGGUGAGUAACACGUGAGUAACCUGCCCUCAUCUCUGGGAUAACAGUCGGAAACGGUUGCUAAUACUGGAUAUGAGCUUGCAAGGCAUCUUGUGGGUUGGAAAGAUUUUUUUGGUUGGGGAUGGACUAGCGGCCUAUCAGCUUGUUGGUGAGGUAGUGGCUCACCAAGGCUUCGACGGGUAGCCGGCCUGAGAGGGCGACCGGCCACAUUGGGACUGAGAUACGGCCCAAACUCCUACGGGAGGCAGCAGUGGGGAAUAUUGCACAAUGGACGGAAGUCUGAUGCAGCAACGCCGCGGGCGGGAUGACGGCCUUCGGGUUGGAAACCGCUUUCAAUUGUGACGAAGCUUUUUGUGACGGUAGCAGUAGAAGAAGCACCGGCUAACUACGUG